UUGGAGGGCAAGUCUGGUGCCAGCAGCCGCGGUAAUUCCAGCUCCAAUAGCGUAUAUUAAAGUUGUUGCAGUUAAAAAGCUCGUAGUUGAAUUUCGGGGUUCUACCGUUGGUCGGGCUUUGUCUGUACUGGUGUGUAGAAUUUCUACCUUCUGGGGAACCAUCAUGCUAUUAAUUUAGCGUGGUGGGAAACCAGGACCUUUACCUUGAAAAAAUUAGUGUGUUCAAAGCAGGCUUAUGUCUGAAUACAUUAGCGUGGAAUAAUAGAAUAGGACGGUGGUCCUGUUUUGUUGGUUUCUGAAUCACCGUAAUGAUUAAUAGGGAUAGUUGGGGGCAUUAGUAUUCAAUUGUCAGAGGUGAAAUUCUUGGAUUUAUUGAAGACUAACUACUGCGAAAGCAUCUGCCAAGGAUGUUUUCAUUAAUCAAGAACGAAAGUUAGGGGAUCGAAGACGAUCAGAUACCGUCGUAGUCUUAACCAUAAACUAUGCCGACUAGGAAUCGGGCGACGUUAUUUUCACGACUCGUUCGGCGCCUUACGGGAAAC
This 542-nucleotide ribosomal RNA is filed under the name uncultured Glomeromycotina. Its description in RNAcentral is "SSU rRNA". It matches the Rfam family "Eukaryotic small subunit ribosomal RNA", at positions 548 to 1098 of the family's 1831-position model. The record is from RNAcentral. Lineage: Eukaryota; Fungi; Glomeromycota.